UAGCUGACCCAACUUAGUGUAAGCGUUAAGGAGGUGGUUGGCAACAAAUUUGUCUUUGAAACAGCCAGAGGUUAGUAUGAGAGAAUGCAGCUGUUUGGUGAGAGAAAAUGAUUUUUUUUGGAUGCAUGAUUUUAAAAGGUAAGAGAAAUGAGAUGGAUUGUCCCAUAUGAGGGAAAAAGAUUUUUUUUGGAUGCAUGAUUGUAGAAGGUAAGAGAAAUAAGAUGGGUUGUCCCAUAUUAGGAAAGAGAACUUAUUGAACGCUUCUUUUACGUAACCUUGAGAACAUAGGAUUGAAAACUCAGUGGCGGAUGUCGAGAACGGCCG
This 324-nucleotide long non-coding RNA is filed under the name Nicotiana benthamiana. RNAcentral's name for it is "long non-coding RNA (NBEN_LNC013308)". The record is from RNAcentral. Lineage: Eukaryota; Viridiplantae; Streptophyta; Magnoliopsida; Solanales; Solanaceae.